CGCGUGAGUAACCUGCCUUAGAGAAGGGGAUAGCCUUUGGAAACGAAGAAUAAUACCCUAUGACAUGAUAGCCUCGCAUGAGAUUAUCAUCAAAGAUUUAUCGCUCUAAGAUGGACUUGCGUCUGAUUAGUUAGUUGGUGGGGUAACGGCCCACCAAGACAGCGAUCAGUAGCCUGCUUGAGAGAGUGUACGGCCACAUUGGGACUGAGACACGGCCCAG
This 220-nucleotide ribosomal RNA is filed under the name uncultured Eubacteriales bacterium. RNAcentral describes it as "uncultured Clostridiales bacterium partial 16S ribosomal RNA". It matches the Rfam family "Bacterial small subunit ribosomal RNA", at positions 114 to 334 of the family's 1533-position model. The record is from RNAcentral. Lineage: Bacteria; Bacillati; Bacillota; Clostridia; Eubacteriales.